GCGCAAGCCAGUGUGAGGCGCGCAGCUGCGGGCGGAAAAGCGGAGGAACUCUGCUCGCUUCUCGGGAAUGGUAGCGAUGCUUUGUCAUUUGGAAGACCGGAGCCGCCCGCUCUUUCGCGGUCCUCGAGGGUUUUGGAGCAUCUUUAUCGCUCUGGAUCCCUGGCCCGGAGGAGCCUGGCUGACCCUGCUUCCAGGCUGGAUUCCUGAGGUGAAACUGGACUCCUCGCUCCUGAGUGGAUUCUGACUUCUGUGCGCGAGGAGCCCGGUCAGUUCUCCCUUACGUGGGACAGGUGUCGCCCGGCACACUUGUUCCGCACAGGCUCCUUCCCAGGAAGCGCAGACUCAGGUGUUUUCUCCUGAGGAUACUUCCCAGUAUCCUAUCAUGAGUCUCCAUUUCAGAUCUGUUUCUAGUAAACUCAACCUAAGAAGAUGAAUACCAGAAAUGGUUCUAGGAAGUAGACUCUACAAGAAAGUUUUGAGCUGAAUCACCUCCUGCUGGAUGGUAGGAAAACCUAAGGUCAGUGUCUGAAUGAGAAACUGAACGUGUAUAUCAACUACCAUAUUGCCAUCCUUCAACUCUCCCAGGCGAAUAUUUCUGAAGGCUAUUGCUCAAUCUAGCCAGCUGACAAGCACAGGAGCAUCACAGGAGGCAAGAAGAUUCUAAAAGCGAUGGAACAGGGAUUAAACAGGAGAUAACCAUGACAACACCAAGGCAAGAACAUGGAAGAAACAGAAAACUUCUGGCUUCUUUAGGAAGGGUAAGAUGAGAAUGCAGUCCUAAAACCCUCUUGGGAUUUCAGGCAAGACAUCAAUAACUAUAAAAUCAUCACAAACAGAGAAGGGAAGAGUACACAAGAGGAAUCAUUGGGCCAAGAGGAAUCAUUCUAUCAAUAUAUCCUAGUAACAAUGACUGUUACCAUAAAGACAAAAACGUGUGCUGUGAGGACAUGGAGAAGGGGGACUCUCCUACACCACUGGAAAAACUUCAGAGCAUGCAUGUGAAUUCAAGACAAAGCUAUGCUCCAUGAUGUCAUCUCAUUUUCCAACACACUGCUCUGGCUACAUUUCCACCUCUCAGAGCACUGGAGGAGAGUAUUGCUCUGCUGGUCUGUAUCUAUUUCUAAUAAAUAAGGUACCUGUCUCCUGGAUGAAAUAUUGCCAGACUACAAGAGAUUAUACUAUUGUGAAUUUUCUGCUUAAGAUUGUGUUUAUAAAUGUGCUAA
This is a long non-coding RNA of Fukomys damarensis (Damara mole-rat), 1223 nucleotides long. RefSeq lists it as uncharacterized. The record is from RefSeq and is a predicted model, not a curated record. NCBI's taxonomy places the organism in Eukaryota, Metazoa, Chordata, Mammalia, Rodentia, Bathyergidae. The transcript has 5 exons.